Molecule: long non-coding RNA, 1458 nt
Filed under: Nicotiana tabacum (common tobacco)
Lineage: Eukaryota; Viridiplantae; Streptophyta; Magnoliopsida; Solanales; Solanaceae
Description: long non-coding RNA (NTAB_LNC018803)
Source: RNAcentral
CAAGUUACGAGGACUACUACGUUUUUUCAUUUCUACUAUUUAGAAGUGGGAGUAAGCAGGACUUCAUCGUCCUGCUUCCCGGGGUAAAAAUGGAAUUUCAUCUAUGAGCUAUAUAAGUGGUUGACUGGUCCGCUGUAUAUAUUGUAUUUUGACAUUAAUCAACAAAAGAUCUUAAUCAAGAAUGCGCUGCGUGUCCCAUGGGUGAAAAGUUGGGCACAUAAUUACCUUUGUGCCCUUUUUGUACUAAUCGUUGGUUCUUCUUCCUAGGUCAAUAUGUCUCUACACUUUCAGCUUUAUCUUCAAGUCUUCUCUGACAGCAUCGUCUCAUCCAAAUUCGAUGGUAUAGAUAAAUUUCCAAAAUUCAGUUUCCCUUCCAAUAAAUUCCUCAUUUUAAUGUUAGAUAUUGAGUUAAAAUUGGGAGUUCUUCGGGAAGUUUCUUAACUUUCUAUCUGGAAAUUUAGGAAUUAAGUGUUGAAACAUGUUGCACCUUAUUAAUUUACAGCUGCGUGUUUUCAAUAAUGUUUCCCUUUUGCAAUUCCUUGCGACAUUCGGUUCUUUAUUAACUUCUCUGAUUUCGCUACUUUCUCCGUUUUUACUGAUAAAUGGUCAUAUUUGUUUUAUUAUGGUCCGAAGGAAACCAGUGGCAUGAUAACGAGUAUGGACAUGACGCUAGCACGAUAGAACUUGGCCGGACAUACAAAGCUGCUUCUCCCAUUACGGACACCAAUUUGUGAAAGAUAAAUAUCAUCUAAUGGUAUGUACUAUCCAUAAAAUAACUGCAAACUGAUCAAAUAAAAAGUAGUCCAAAUAGGUAAAAUGGUGUUGUUGGACCAUUGUAGUCAGGUUCGAUGUAAUUUAUUUCCUUUCCCCCGACGAAAAGGUAUUCAGUUUGAGUAUUUUUUAGAUUUCAGAGGUGUUCAUUAUUUUGGGUAUUGCAGAAGUUAGCAAGAAACUAAGCUAAAAUGUAGUAGGUCAUGUACUUUUGCUUCUUUUCUUAUUUUUUUAAUGGUGAUUUAUAGUUUUAUACUCUCUCUUUUGGACAUAAGAUGGCUUAGAGAAGUUAUGCCAGUUAUUUCUUGUUGCAUCUUGCAUUUUGCCUCACUGUGAUGCAGUGUUUUCAUUAACCUGUUAAUAAGAAUGUCAGUCUCCGGUUAAUUUUGUAGGUAAAAUACUUUUAAGAUGAAAAAUGAACCUUCAUUUAAUUGUGGCUGCGUUGCAAUAUUUUUGCUCGCUCUCAACAUCAAAUUCUCCAUUUAACUUGUGUACUUGAUUAAUAAUCUGAUGUAGCAUAGUGACAAAACUUGCCUUCUCAGAUUUACUAUCCAAGAGAUGAAUUUGUGCAUAUUUAUUUGCUUUUAACCUGAAAUGUGUCAAAUUCUUGGACAAUAGAAUUGUUGAUUGUUACUCUUCAAAAAGUUUUAUUCAGGUAGAUUGUAAGCACAUUGUAGAUCUUUUAAA